AUUGAACGCUGGCGGCAUGCUUUACACAUGCAAGUCGAACGGUAACAGGGAGCUUGCUCCGCUGACGAGUGGCGAACGGGUGAGUAAUGCGUCGGAACGUGCCGAGUAGUGGGGGAUAACGCAUCGAAAGGUGUGCUAAUACCGCAUACGUACUGAGGUAGAAAGUGGGGGGACCUUCGGGCCUCACGCUAUUCGAGCGGCCGACGUCUGAUUAGCUAGUUGGUGAGGUAAAGGCUCACCAAGGCGACGAUCAGUAGCGGGUCUGAGAGGAUGAUCCGCCACACUGGGACUGAGACACGGCCCAGACUCCUACGGAGGCAGCAGUGGGGAAUUUUGGACAAUGGGCGCAAGCCUGAUCCAGCCAUGCCGCGUGUCUGAAGAAGGCCUCGGUUGUAAGG
Molecule: ribosomal RNA, 398 nt
Filed under: uncultured bacterium
Lineage: Bacteria
Description: bacterial SSU rRNA
Rfam family: Bacterial small subunit ribosomal RNA
Source: RNAcentral